Molecule: unclassified non-coding RNA, 334 nt
Filed under: soil metagenome
Description: partial contains 5.8S ribosomal RNA, internal transcribed spacer 2, and large subunit ribosomal RNA
Rfam family: 5.8S ribosomal RNA (bases 1-120)
Source: RNAcentral
GAUGAAGAACGUAGCGAAAUGCGAUAAGUAAUGUGAAUUGCAGAAUUCAGUGAAUCAUCGAAUCUUUGAACGCACAUUGCGCCCGCCAGUAUUCUGGCGGGCAUGUCUGUUCGAGCGUCAUUUCAACCAUCAAGCCCCCGGGCUUGUGUUGGGGACCUGCGGCUGCCGCAGGCCCUGAAAACCAGUGGCGGGCUCGCUAGUCACUCCGAGCGUAGUAGUUACAUCUCGCUCAGGGCGUGCUGCGGGUUCCGGCCGUUAAAAGCCUUUUACCCCAAGGUUGACCUCGGAUCAGGUAGGAAGACCCGCUGAACUUAAGCAUAUCAAUAAGCGGAGG